RNAcentral lists this ribosomal RNA (301 nucleotides) under uncultured bacterium. Its description in RNAcentral is "partial 16S ribosomal RNA". It matches the Rfam family "Bacterial small subunit ribosomal RNA", at positions 509 to 807 of the family's 1533-position model. The record is from RNAcentral.
CAGCAGCCGCGGGAAUACGAAGGGGGCUAGCGUUGCUCGGAAUGACUGGGCGUAAAUGGCGCGUAGGCGGCUGUUACAGUCAGACGUGAAAUUCCUGGGCUCAACCUGGGGGCUGCGUUUGAUACGUGAUGGCUUGGGUUCGGAAGAGGGUCGUGGAAUUCCCAGUGUAGAGGUGAAAUUCGUAGAUAUUGGGAAGAACACCGGUGGCGAAGGCGGCGACCUGGUCCGAUACUGACGCUGAGGCGCGAAAGCGUGGGGAGCAAACAGGAUUAGAUACCCCUGUAGUCCCUGUCUCUUAUAC